AAAUCGCUGUGAAGAUGCAGUGUACCCGCGGCUAGACGGAAAGACCCCGUGAACCUUUACUACAGCUUGGCACUGAACAUUGAACCUACAUGUGUAGGAUAGGUGGGAGGCUAUGAAGACGUGACGCCAGUUGCGUUGGAGCCGUCCUUGAAAUACCACCCUUGUAUGUUUGAUGUUCUAACUUAGACCCGUUAUCCGGGUUGAGGACAGUGCCUGGUGGGUAGUUUGACUGGGGCGGUCUCCUCCCAAAGAGUA
RNAcentral lists this ribosomal RNA (255 nucleotides) under Vibrio cholerae. RNAcentral's name for it is "partial 23S ribosomal RNA". It matches the Rfam family "Bacterial large subunit ribosomal RNA", at positions 2045 to 2299 of the family's 2925-position model. Lineage: Bacteria; Pseudomonadati; Pseudomonadota; Gammaproteobacteria; Vibrionales; Vibrionaceae. The record is from RNAcentral.